This 6585-nucleotide long non-coding RNA is filed under the name Brassica napus (rape). RNAcentral's name for it is "long non-coding RNA (BNAP_LNC023485)". The record is from RNAcentral. Lineage: Eukaryota; Viridiplantae; Streptophyta; Magnoliopsida; Brassicales; Brassicaceae.
UCUCAAAUCAAUCCACCUCUCCAAGAUGGCUCGGAAAGAGGCGCAUUGAGAUCAAUUGAUGGCUUUGGGAAUUACCGCCUCAGAGUACACGGUGCACCUGGUUCUGUUCUGUCAAAUAGCACCGUCUUUGACCUCUUCUUUCUUGACAGUGGAGAUAGAGAAACUGUCCAAGGUAGACGAACAUAUGGAUGGAUCAAGGAUUCUCAACUUAGUUGGCUUCAAGAUGCUUCUAAACAGGUAAAAGAGACUUAAUCAUUUCUUGUUACAUCUGGUGAAAUAUUCUCAUAUUCAGAUCUUUUAUCAUGAUUACACUAAACAUGGUCUUAACCAGAACAUGGGAAACGUUCCCAGUAAUCCUGAUCCAGCGCUAGCCUUCUUCCACAUUCCAAUCCCGGAAGUCCGUGAUCUGUGGUACACACCCUUUAUUGGCCAGUUUCAGGAGGGUGUGGCGUGCUCCAUCGUGCAAUCAGGAGUCUUAAGUACCUUUUUGUCCAUGGGAAAUGUAAAAGCCGCGUUCAUAGGACACGACCAUGUCAAUGAUUUCUGCGGAAAUCUAAAAGGAGUCUGGUUUUGUUACGGUGGAGGAUUUGGAUACCAUGCAUAUGGAAGACGAAAUUGGCACAGAAGAUCGCGACUGAUUGAGGCUAAGCUCGGGAAAGGAAAAGACACGUGGACAGGAGUUCAACGUAUCAAGACGUGGAAACGUCUAGACGAUGGAGACUUGUGCAAGAUAGACGAACAAGUCCUAUGGGAAGCUUCCUACUCGUUUCUGAAGUGACCUAGGGACAAGGCAAAUAAGGUAUAUUGAUUUCUUUUUUUCAUGAUUGCCCAUCUUUUCGAUGUUUUGUAGUUUUGUGUAAGAAAUUUCUGAGUCUAAUGCUUUUAGGCUUCUGGUCAUACUUAAUGUCAUGCAUAUGUGUCUGUUCGUUGUUAAAACGUUUUUCAGAUGGUCAUAAUGUGAGAUCCUAUUCAGUAUUGACAUCAUCGUCUGUUAGACCACUCGUGCUGAAACAUAUGUGAACUGAAACACCGAAUUUCGUUUUUUAGAUUUUUUCAAAAUGUCACUUUCCUUGUUUUACCUGUGUGAUCUCUUUGACGACUAUAAUCAUCUCGUUAAUUACGAAUACUUAAAUUAUUGGAUUUAAAAAACAUAUAUUUGGUUUUUUUUCUUUUAAUUAUUUAUUAGCUAAUUAACAUCGCAUGAUUGACUUUGUUGGGUAUUGUUACACAUAUUUUGAUUGUCAAAUCAUUUCUUUUUUCUUUUUGCUAUAUGCUGUUUCACUAUCUUUGUCAUUUUUUUUUGCUACCUUGUCUUGUAAUAGUUUAUGUUUCUGUCUCCUAUCCUUUUCCUUUUUGGUCAUGACUUUUAUAUAAAAAAAUUAUUUAUUUUAAUAUUAUUAAGUUGGAACAUUUCUUUAGUGCUCACACUGUAGAUAUUGACAAACAGGUACAGAAUAGUUAAGACUGAUGAAUAAAGACCUCGUGUCGAAUAAUUAUCAACCUGAAUACUCUAUAUUAUUUUAAUAUUAUGCUAGUCUUUUGUUGUUUUUAUUUUAGUUAGAAAAUACUACCUUUAUUUUUUUAUUGACCAAUUACUGUUUACUACUAAUAAUUGACAUUGUCAAACCCUUCUUUUGUUUCAGUAAGGAGGAUACAACGCUGGUGUGUAUAUUAACUGGAAACCUACGUUGUUGUCUCCAGAGAGCUUGGUCUGUCUCAUUCUAGUUUUAUCACUGCCCUUCUCUAUAUAAAGCUCACAGGUCGAGAGAGACAAGAGACACCACAUAAACGAUCAGACAGUUGAUUAGAGAGAACUCUGUCGGAAAAUGGAUAACGUCGACCAAGAGUUCAACAAUUACUGGGAAACAAACUCCUUCCUCCAAAACGAAGACUUCGAAUAUGACAGGUUCUUUCUUGUUUUUUUCAUUUUUGUCUCUCUCUUUCUAUAUCCCCACUUUCCCGGAAACACUUGAGAUUCUGAUAUUCGUUUCUUUCUCUAAUAGCUGGCCUUUGGAGGAAGCGAUUUCUGGGUCGUAUGAUUCGAGUUCGCCUGAUGGGGCGGCUUCGUCUCCGGCUUCUAAGAAUAUUGUGUCGGAGAGAAACAGAAGACAGAAGCUUAACCAGAGACUCUUCGCUCUUCGAUCAGUUGUCCCCAAUAUCACUAAGGUUUGUUUUUUAAAAAGUUCCCAUCUAAACUCGUUGUCUUCUAGUUCCAAGAUCCAAGCUUAUUAUGGUAUCUGUUUUACUUUUUCUUUGGUAGAUGGAUAAAGCAUCAAUAAUCAAAGAUGCAAUUAGUUACAUACAAGGGUUGCAAUAUGAAGAGUCGAAGCUCGAAGCGGAGAUCAGAGAACUUGAAUCUACUCCAAAGAGUAGCCUGAGCUUCAGUAAAGAUUUUGAUCGUGAUUUGCUGGUUCCUGUCACAUCCAAGAAGAUGAAGCAGCUUGAUUCUGGUCCUUCCCGUUCUCUCAUUGAAGUUCUCGACGUAAAUUUCUGUGCUUUCCUACUUUAACACCUUGAAUCAUUUAAACUAAAAAAAAUCAUUAAAAAUUGUGGGGUUUUUAUUGGGUGAUUGAAGCUGAAGGUGACAUUCAUGGGAGAGAGGACAGUGGUAGUGAAUGUAACAUGUAAUAAGAGGACAGACACAAUGGUGAAACUGUGUGAAGUCUUUGAGUCAUUGAAUCUCAAAAUCAUCACUUCCAAUCUCAACUCUUUCUCUGGCAUGAUCUUCAACACUGUCUUUAUUGAGGUCAGCAUCUCCCUCUCUCUCUCCAAUUUGUCAUUAGUUAAUUACUAUCAAGUAGUAAUGAUUACAAUUAGUCAAGACGUGGACAGUAAACUUUUCAAAGAAAAAAAAGUAAAAGGAAGCAUUCAUAUAUAUUAGUAGGGGUUGGCAUUUUAUCCGAUAUCCGAAGUCGCACCCGAACCCGAUCCGAAAAACCCGAACCGAAAUCCGAACCGAAGUAGCAAAAUACCUGAACGGGUAUUGAAUAAGGAGAGAUUGGAUACCUGAACCCGAACGGAUAAUACCCGAACCCGAAUGGAUAUCCGAAGAUAACCGAACAUAUGUAUAAUUAACCUUAUAUUUCUAGUUUACAUCUCUCAUUUUAUAUAAAAUAUUUAUAUUGAUACUAUACAUACUUUAAGUUCAUAUGAUAUACAUACAAUUACGGAAAAAAACAGGUAGGCAUGAAGUUCUAGGCAAGAUGAACUCAUAAAUACUACAUUGGCUUAGAUGACAAAACUAGUUAUUCGUUAAGUUAUCUGGAUAAAAAAGACAUAUAAUCUAAAUGUAAUAAUCCGUAGUUGUGUUAUGAGAAUUGUUAAAGCCAUCAAAAGGCACUUGCUUAGAUAAUAAGGACCAUGGUCUAAAUGGUCUUCAGAAUUUUGUCCAAUCAUAGCCCGAGUAGAAACAUGGGUAUAUAGCCAUAUUAGGUCCAAUUAGAUUUGGACAAAGGACAACCAAAAUACUCCUUACUUGACAGCUCAUAGUUGACAGGUACUAAAAGAAUGUGAUAUGUCCUCGUUUAUGAACCCUACUUGCAAGAAAUUUGACUACAAGAUCCACCCGUCGAGCAGGGACGAAAGUCGGUUAGCCCAACCAUUUGACAGCUCUAGGUAUAGUUGACAACAACAACAACAAACAAUAUGGUGCUGGGGUGGGUGGACGUGCUAUUUCCCCACGAAAACUAUUAUAUAGCAUCAGAUGUCCACCAAACUAUGACAUCGUUCUAAAUCUCUCCAAAUUGAAAAUUAGAAAUCUAUUUCUCCCCGAAUUGAUAGUUCGAAAUGUAAUUAUCCAUAGACCAUUGUUUUAACUUGUUUGCUGUUAACCAAACAAUUUUUAACAAACUAAACCAAAAAAAAAUCAGACCAGACUAUCUAACAGUUCCGACCCCUUUACAUCUUCUUCUUCACCCGAGGAGCGAGAGACUCAAUUCCUCCUCCUUCACCAUCCCCAACAUUGAUAUCUAUUUGAGAGGAAAUAUUUGAAGGUUUGAGAGGAAAUAUUUGAAGGUUUGAUAUCUUUUUAUGCUGGUGUAUUGUUUAUGUCAUCGAGAUCUGAUAUAUUUUAGAGUUGCGGAUCAAGUGUUUCUAAUUUCAUCUGAAUUUUGAUUGUUUUAGGAUAUAUCAAAAGUUUUCUCUAAUCUGUAAGAAAACAAGUGGAGGAAGAGUGUCAUCAUCUCUUGCUCGUUGGGAGAAGAAGACACUAACGGUUCAAGUUUGGUUUUUCUUUUCUUUUUUUGUUUAGUUGGUUAAAAAUGUUUGGUUUAGUUGGUUAAAUUGCUUGGUAAACAGUAAACCAGUUAAAACUGUAAAUUUUGGGUAAUUAAAUUUCAAACUAUCGAUUCAGGGAGAAAUAAGUUUGUAUAUUUAAUUCAGGGAGAUUUAGAACGAGGUCAUAGUUUGGUGGACAUUUGUUACUAUAUGAUAGUUCUCGUGGAGAAAUAGCACGUUUAGUUCCAAGCAAAGUCCAAGUUUUCAAGUCGAGUAGAUCCUUCGGUUUAUAUUCCUUUUUUUUUAAUUUUUUUUUCCUUUUCAAUGUAAAAUUUAUGUUACUAAUAUGGGGGGGUUUAACUGGUGUAAGUCGUUUUUCUCUUUCGAAUGUAGUAUAAAUGUGUUUUAAAUUUGGCAAACAAAUGUGUGUUCAUUUUUUUUGCAGAACUACUCAUUAGUAACACUACAAUCCACACUGAAAGGAAAACUAGUCUUCAUCUUCUUACCCAAGUCCAAAAAUGUGAACUGAAAUUAACCCAAAAAAAUCAAAUCGAAACUGAUCAGACAAAGUACAUAUAUGAAUCCAAAACUAUAAUAUUUGAAAAUUUAUAUUCGAUAAGAACCGAUUCUGAAUGUUUAUGACUAUUGACUUUCCGCGUCCUUUUCUCAUUUAUGAUUUAGUUUGCAACGUAUUUCUAUUUGUAAACUUUAUCUUUUUGUGAACUUUAGUUAGUAUAAAAUUGUAUGUCUAAUUUAGAGAUUAAAAUGUUAGUUUCAUUUAAAAAAAAAAAACAAUACAUUUGACGGAUCUAAAUAGAAAGAAUAAACAACUAAAUCGAAUAAUAUUUGAAUUUUUUUGAAUAUGUAUAACUAUAAAAAUAUAGAACCAAAUGAAAUCGAUCCAAAACAGAAUAAAACUCUUAUGGACACGUUUAAACUGAAUUUUAGAAGCAAAGGAAAAAAACUAUUCGCCACUGGUAUACCGGGGCAUUAUGUGAAGUGAAAAAAGCACAAUGGGAUUUCAAACCGCCUUUUAUCGCGACUUGUAAUCCGCCAAACGCGCGUUAUUUGCGGCCGCGAUUACGGACUUCAAAUCAAACUAUUUUAGAAAGUUGUAGGAUGAUUAUCCUCGAUCUCUCGGUCUAGCAAACAGUGGGGAAGAAGAAGGAAGUGAGAAUGAGUCCUGCAAGAAUAACUGUGAACUGGAAGCACACUAUCCUCUACUUAACCCUAAUCAUAUCUCUUAUCUACUCCAUCGAAACCCUAAUCUCGCACAAACUACAAGUCAACCACAACCAAAUCCGCCUCAAAAGGUCUCCGAAUCUCCCUCUACGGUUCCGCGACGACGGCACCUUCAAAAUCCUCCAGGUCCGUUACGUUAGUCCCUUUUCAAAAUUCGUGCAGUUUCGCUUGUGUUUGAUUUGAUGUGGUUUCGAAUGGUCGACGAUCGCUGGCUACAGGUUGCGGAUAUGCAUUUCGGGAUGGGUAGCAUCACUCGAUGCAGAGAUGUGACGGAUGCAGAAUACGGUUACUGUUCUGAUCUCAAUACCACUCAGUUCCUUCGGAGGAUGAUUGAAGCUGAGAGACCCGAUCUCAUCGCAUUUACUGGUAAGCCAUGCGUCAUUCAUUGAUUCUCUUAUGAUCUGUGAAAGCGCGAGGGAGAAGUACUGGUGUUGAUUUGAGAGCUAUAAAUAAUGUUUAGUGAAACUGAAAGCUUGUAAGAGCUCCUCCAAGUGAUGAUGAAACUUGAAUGUGAUCAACAAUUAGCUUGGAUAUAAGAUUUAGUGAUGAUGAAACUUGAGACAUUUGAUCCACAGUUAGCUUGGAUGUAAGAUUUAGCGAUGAUGAAACUUCAGUGAGCAAACACAUUUGAUCAACAAUUAGUUUCCAGUUAGUUAUAAUAUCUAUUUGAUCGAUGUGACAGUUUUAAAGGAAGGAUUAGAGCUGAUUCGCUAACUUUUGUUGUUGGUGAUUAUUAGGGGAUAAUAUAUUUGGAUCAAGCACUACUGAUGCAGCUGAAUCUCUUCUUCAAGCCAUUGGUCCAGCCAUUGAAUAUGGAAUCCCAUGGGCUGCCAUUUUAGGAAAUCAUGACCAGGAGUCCACUAUGAACCGUGCAGAGCUGAUGACUUUCCUCUCGCUUAUGGAUUUUUCUGUCUCUCAAAUCAAUCCACCUCUCGAAGAUGGCUCGGAAAGAGGCGUAUUGAGAUCAAUUGAUGGCUUUGGGAAUUACCGCCUCAGAGUACACGGUGCACCUGGUUCUGUUCUGUCAAAUAGCACCGUCUUUGACCUCUUCUUUCUUGACAGUGGAGAUAGAGAAACUGUCCAAGGUAGACGAACAUAUGGAUGGAUCAAGGAUUCUCAACUUAGUUG